RNAcentral lists this ribosomal RNA (2382 nucleotides) under Escherichia coli. Its description in RNAcentral is "partial 23S ribosomal RNA". It matches the Rfam family "Bacterial large subunit ribosomal RNA", at positions 580 to 2925 of the family's 2925-position model. The record is from RNAcentral. Lineage: Bacteria; Pseudomonadati; Pseudomonadota; Gammaproteobacteria; Enterobacterales; Enterobacteriaceae.
CAGAGCAAUCUGUGUGACUGCGUACCUUUUGUAUAAUGGGUCAGCGACUUAUAUUCUGUAGCAAGGUUAACCGAAUAGGGGAGCCGAAGGGAAACCGAGUCUUAACCGGGCGUUAAGUUGCAGGGUAUAGACCCGAAACCCGGUGAUCUAGCCAUGGGCAGGUUGAAGGUUGGGUAACACUAACUGGAGGACCGAACCGACUAAUGUUGAAAAAUUAGCGGAUGACUUGUGGCUGGGGGUGAAAGGCCAAUCAAACCGGGAGAUAGCUGGUUCUCCCCGAAAGCUAUUUAGGUAGCGCCUCGUGAAUUCAUCUCCGGGGGUAGAGCACUGUUUCGGCAAGGGGGUCAUCCCGACUUACCAACCCGAUGCAAACUGCGAAUACCGGAGAAUGUUAUCACGGGAGACACACGGCGGGUGCUAACGUCCGUCGUGAAGAGGGAAACAACCCAGACCGCCAGCUAAGGUCCCAAAGUCAUGGUUAAGUGGGAAACGAUGUGGGAAGGCCCAGACAGCCAGGAUGUUGGCUUAGAAGCAGCCAUCAUUUAAAGAAAGCGUAAUAGCUCACUGGUCGAGUCGGCCUGCGCGGAAGAUGUAACGGGGCUAAACCAUGCACCGAAGCUGCGGCAGCGACACUGUGUGUUGUUGGGUAGGGGAGCGUUCUGUAAGCCUGUGAAGGUGUGCUGUGAGGCAUGCUGGAGGUAUCAGAAGUGCGAAUGCUGACAUAAGUAACGAUAAAGCGGGUGAAAAGCCCGCUCGCCGGAAGACCAAGGGUUCCUGUCCAACGUUAAUCGGGGCAGGGUGAGUCGACCCCUAAGGCGAGGCCGAAAGGCGUAGUCGAUGGGAAACAGGUUAAUAUUCCUGUACUUGGUGUUACUGCGAAGGGGGGACGGAGAAGGCUAUGUUGGCCGGGCGACGGUUGUCCCGGUUUAAGCGUGUAGGCUGGUUUUCCAGGCAAAUCCGGAAAAUCAAGGCUGAGGCGUGAUGACGAGGCACUACGGUGCUGAAGCAACAAAUGCCCUGCUUCCAGGAAAAGCCUCUAAGCAUCAGGUAACAUCAAAUCGUACCCCAAACCGACACAGGUGGUCAGGUAGAGAAUACCAAGGCGCUUGAGAGAACUCGGGUGAAGGAACUAGGCAAAAUGGUGCCGUAACUUCGGGAGAAGGCACGCUGAUAUGUAGGUGAAGUCCCUCGCGGAUGGAGCUGAAAUCAGUCGAAGAUACCAGCUGGCUGCAACUGUUUAUUAAAAACACAGCACUGUGCAAACACGAAAGUGGACGUAUACGGUGUGACGCCUGCCCGGUGCCGGAAGGUUAAUUGAUGGGGUCAGCGCAAGCGAAGCUCUUGAUCGAAGCCCCGGUAAACGGCGGCCGUAACUAUAACGGUCCUAAGGUAGCGAAAUUCCUUGUCGGGUAAGUUCCGACCUGCACGAAUGGCGUAAUGAUGGCCAGGCUGUCUCCACCCGAGACUCAGUGAAAUUGAACUCGCUGUGAAGAUGCAGUGUACCCGCGGCAAGACGGAAAGACCCCGUGAACCUUUACUAUAGCUUGACACUGAACAUUGAGCCUUGAUGUGUAGGAUAGGUGGGAGGCUUUGAAGUGUGGACGCCAGUCUGCAUGGAGCCGACCUUGAAAUACCACCCUUUAAUGUUUGAUGUUCUAACGUGGACCCGUGAUCCGGGUUGCGGACAGUGUCUGGUGGGUAGUUUGACUGGGGCGGUCUCCUCCUAAAGAGUAACGGAGGAGCACGAAGGUUGGCUAAUCCUGGUCGGACAUCAGGAGGUUAGUGCAAUGGCAUAAGCCAGCUUGACUGCGAGCGUGACGGCGCGAGCAGGUGCGAAAGCAGGUCAUAGUGAUCCGGUGGUUCUGAAUGGAAGGGCCAUCGCUCAACGGAUAAAAGGUACUCCGGGGAUAACAGGCUGAUACCGCCCAAGAGUUCAUAUCGACGGCGGUGUUUGGCACCUCGAUGUCGGCUCAUCACAUCCUGGGGCUGAAGUAGGUCCCAAGGGUAUGGCUGUUCGCCAUUUAAAGUGGUACGCGAGCUGGGUUUAGAACGUCGUGAGACAGUUCGGUCCCUAUCUGCCGUGGGCGCUGGAGAACUGAGGGGGGCUGCUCCUAGUACGAGAGGACCGGAGUGGACGCAUCACUGGUGUUCGGGUUGUCAUGCCAAUGGCACUGCCCGGUAGCUAAAUGCGGAAGAGAUAAGUGCUGAAAGCAUCUAAGCACGAAACUUGCCCCGAGAUGAGUUCUCCCUGACCCUUUAAGGGUCCUGAAGGAACGUUGAAGACGACGACGUUGAUAGGCCGGGUGUGUAAGCGCAGCGAUGCGUUGAGCUAACCGGUACUAAUGAACCGUGAGGCUUAACCUUACAACGCCGAAGGUGUUU